RNAcentral lists this ribosomal RNA (735 nucleotides) under uncultured Fusobacterium sp. RNAcentral's name for it is "bacterial SSU rRNA". It matches the Rfam family "Bacterial small subunit ribosomal RNA", at positions 28 to 776 of the family's 1533-position model. Lineage: Bacteria; Fusobacteriati; Fusobacteriota; Fusobacteriia; Fusobacteriales; Fusobacteriaceae. The record is from RNAcentral.
GAUGAACGCUGACAGAAUGCUUAACACAUGCAAGUCAACUUGAAUUUGGGUUUUUAACUUAGAUUUGGGUGGCGGACGGGUGAGUAACGCGUAAAGAACUUGCCUCACAGUUAGGGACAACAUUUAGAAAUGAAUGCUAAUACCUGAUAUUAUGAUUUUAAGGCAUCUUAGAAUUAUGAAAGCUAUAAGCACUGUGAGAGAGCUUUGCGUCCCAUUAGCUAGUUGGAGAGGUAACAGCUCACCAAGGCGAUGAUGGGUAGCCGGCCUGAGAGGGUGAACGGCCACAAGGGGACUGAGACACGGCCCUUACUCCUACGGGAGGCAGCAGUGGGGAAUAUUGGACAAUGGACCGAGAGUCUGAUCCAGCAAUUCUGUGUGCACGAUGAAGUUUUUCGGAAUGUAAAGUGCUUUCAGUUGGGAAGAAAUAAAUGACGGUACCAACAGAAGAAGUGACGGCUAAAUACGUGCCAGCAGCCGCGGUAAUACGUAUGUCACGAGCGUUAUCCGGAUUUAUUGGGCGUAAAGCGCGUCUAGGUGGUUAUGUAAGUCUGAUGUGAAAAUGCAGGGCUCAACUCUGUAUUGCGUUGGAAACUGUAUAACUAGAGUACUGGAGAGGUAAGCGGAACUACAAGUGUAGAGGUGAAAUUCGUAGAUAUUUGUAGGAAUGCCGAUGGGGAAGCCAGCUUACUGGACAGAUACUGACGCUAAAGCGCGAAAGCGUGGGUAGCAAACAGG